CGGUAAUUCCAUCUCCAAUAGCGUAUACUAAAGUUGUUGCAGUUAAAAAGCUCGUAGUUGGAUUUCUGCGGGGACGGAGCGGCCGGACGCAACUUGCGUCUCGAGCUAGCGCUUUCCCCACAUCCUGCCGCGAACCGUGCUACCAUUAGCUUGGUGGCGCUGGGGAUCGGCUCGAUUACUUUGAGAAAAAUAGAGUGUUCAAAGCAGGCCACACGCCUUGAAUAAGUUAGCAUGGAAUAAUGAUUAAGGACUUCGGUUCUAUUUUGUCGGUGUUCGGGACUGAAGUAAUGAUUGAUAGGGACAGUUGGGGCGGUCUGUAUUCCAAAGCGAGAGGUGAAAUUCUUAGACCUUCGGAAGACAAACAGCUGCGAAAGCGUUCCGCAAGGAUGUUCCCUUUGAUCAAGAACGAAAGUUGGGGGAUCGAAGACGAUCAGAUACCGUCGUAGUCUCAACUAUAAACUAUACCAGCUAGGGAUCGGCCAACGUUUAACUCUAUCGACUUGGUCGGCACCUUAUGAGAAAUCAAAGCAUCUGGGUUCCGGGGGGAGUAUGGUCGCAAGGCUGAAACUUAAAGGAAUUGACGGAAGGGCACCACCAGGCGUGGAGCCUGUGGCUUAAUUUGACUCAACACGGGAAAAUUUACCAGGUCCAGACAUAGGAAGGAUUGACAGAUUGAUAGCUCUUUCUUGAUUCUGUGGGUGGUGGUGCAUGGCCGUUUUUAGUCGGUGAAGUGAUUUGUCUGCUUAAUUGCGUUAACGGACGAGACCCCAGCCUGCUAAAUAGCGCGGCCGAGCUUUGCUCGGUGCGAGCUUCUUAGAGGGACCAUGAUGCGCGAUAGCACAAGGAAGUUUGGGGCAACAACAGGUCUGUGAUGCCCUUAGAUGUUCUGGGCCGCACACGGGCUACACUGGCGCCUGCAACGAGCAUAUCAGCUGGCCCGAGAGGGUCUUGGCUAAUCUUUGGAACCGGCGCCGUGCUUGGGAUUGACCAUUGCAAUUGUUGGUCAUGCAACGAGGAAUGCCUUGUAAACGCGAGUCAUCAGCUCGCAUUGAAUACGUCCCUGCCCUUCGUACACACCGCCCGUCGCUCCUACCGAUGAAUGUUCCGAUGAAAUUUUCGGAGAGCGCCAGAGAACGGGGCUCUGCCUUGCAGAUCUGGAGGCUCAAAGUCACUUAAAUCUGAACAUUUCGAGGAAGGAGAAGUCGUAACAAGGUAACC
RNAcentral lists this ribosomal RNA (1218 nucleotides) under uncultured Rhizaria. RNAcentral's name for it is "SSU rRNA". It matches the Rfam family "Eukaryotic small subunit ribosomal RNA", at positions 577 to 1804 of the family's 1831-position model. The record is from RNAcentral.